Molecule: ribosomal RNA, 531 nt
Filed under: uncultured Microgenomates group bacterium
Lineage: Bacteria
Description: bacterial SSU rRNA
Rfam family: Bacterial small subunit ribosomal RNA
Source: RNAcentral
CGUCGGGGAUGACAGUACCCUACUAGAAAGGGGCCGCUAACUGCGUGCCAGAAGCGUCGGUAAUACGUGGGCCCCAAACGUUAUCCGGUUUUACUGGGCGUAAAGGGUCGUGUAGGCGGUUAGCAAGUUUUUGCUUAAAGGCUACGGCUUAACCGUAGACAUGGCAAAAAUACUGCUAAGCUAGAAUAUCCUUGGGGGAGAUGGGAACUUGCGGUGGAGUAGUGAAAUGCGUUGAUACCGCAAGGAACACCAGUGGCGAAGGCGCAUCUCUCUAAAGAUAUUGACGCUGAGACACGAAAGCUAGGGGAGCGAAGCAGAUUAGAGACCUGCGUAGUCCUAGCCGUAAACGCAUGUCUGCUAGCUGUGCUUUUCUCCCUCCGAAUAGGCGGGGAUUAGGCAUGGCGAAGGUAACCCGUUAAGCAGNCCGCCUGGGGAGUACGGCCGCAAGGCUAAAACUCAAAGGAAUUGGCGGGGAGGCACACAACCAGUGGAACAUGUGGUUCAAUUCGAGACGAACCGAAGCACCUCACC